This 465-nucleotide ribosomal RNA is filed under the name uncultured bacterium. RNAcentral describes it as "partial 16S ribosomal RNA". It matches the Rfam family "Bacterial small subunit ribosomal RNA", at positions 28 to 507 of the family's 1533-position model. The record is from RNAcentral.
GAUGAACGCUGGCGGCGUGCUUAACACAUGCAAGUCGAACGGAAAGGCUCCUGCUUGCAGGGGUACUCGAGUGGCGAACGGGUGAGUAACACGUGGGUGAUCUGCCCUGCACUUCCUGAUAAGCCUGGGAAACUGGGUCUAUUACCGGAUAGGACCACAUUUUGGAUGGUGUGGUGGAAAGUUUUUCGGUGUGGGAUGAGCUCGCGGCCUAUCAGCUUGUUGGUGGGGUAAUGGCCUACCAAGGCGUCGACGGGUAGCCGGCCUGAGAGGGCGUACGGCCACAAUGGGACUAAGAGACGGACCAGACUGCUACGGGAGGCAGCAGUGGGGAAUAUUGCACAAUGGGCGCGAGCCUGAUGCAGCGACGCCGCGUGGGGGAUGACGGCCUUCGGGUUGUAAACACCUGUCGAUGGAGACGAAGCGGAAGUGACGGUACCUGGAGAAGAAGCACCGGCUAACUACGUG